GACGAACGCUGGCGGCGUGCUUAACACAUGCAAGUCGAACGGAAAGGCCCUGCUUUUGUGGGGUGCUCGAGUGGCGAACGGGUGAGUAACACGUGAGUAACCUGCCCUUGACUUUGGGAUAACUUCAGGAAACUGGGGCUCAUACCGGAUAGGAGCUCCUGCUGCAUGGUGGGGGUUGGAAAGUUUCGGCGGUUGGGGAUGGACUCGCGGGUUAUCAGCUUGUUGGUGGGGUAGUGGCUUACCAAGGCUUUGACGGGUAGCCGGCCUGAGAGGGUGACCGGCGACAUGGGGCCUGAGAUACGGCGCAGACGCCUACGGUAGGCAGCAGUGGGGAAUCUGGCACAAUGGGCGGGAGCCUGAGGCGGCGACGCCGCGUGCGGGAUGACGGCCUUCGGGUUGUAAACCGCUGUCGCCGGUGACGAAGCGUGAGUGACGGUAAUGGGUAAAGAAGCACCGGCUAACUACGUG
Molecule: ribosomal RNA, 468 nt
Filed under: uncultured bacterium
Lineage: Bacteria
Description: partial 16S ribosomal RNA
Rfam family: Bacterial small subunit ribosomal RNA
Source: RNAcentral